This 253-nucleotide ribosomal RNA is filed under the name uncultured bacterium. RNAcentral's name for it is "partial 16S ribosomal RNA". It matches the Rfam family "Bacterial small subunit ribosomal RNA", at positions 524 to 776 of the family's 1533-position model. The record is from RNAcentral.
UACGGAGGGUGCAAGCGUUAUCCGGAUUCACUGGGUUUAAAGGGCGCGUAGGUGGGCAGGUAAGUCCGUGGUGAAAUCCCUGAGCUUAACUCGGGAACUGCCAUGGAUACUAUUUGUCUUGAAUAUUGUGGAGGUAAGCGGAAUAUGUCAUGUAGCGGUGAAAUGCUUAGAUAUGACAUAGAACACCAAUUGCGAAGGCAGCUUACUACACAGUUAUUGACACUGAGGCACGAAAGCGUGGGGAUCAAACAGG